UUAGAUACCCUGGUAGUCCACACAGUAAACGAUGAAUACUCGCUGUUGGCGAUACAAUGUCAGCGGCCAAGCGAAAGCAUUAAGUAUUCCACCUGGGGAGUACGCCGGCAACGGUGAAACUCAAAGGAAUUGACGGGGGCCCGCACAAGCGGAGGAACAUGUGGUUUAAUUCGAUGAUACGCGAGGAACCUUACCCGGGCUUAAAUUGCAACUGACGGACUUGGAAACAGGUCUUUCUUCGGACAGUUGUGAAGGUGCUGCAUGGUUGUCGUCAGCUCGUGCCGUGAGGUGUCGGCUUAAGUGCCAUAACGAGCGCAACCCUUACCGACAGUUACCAUCAGGUAACGCUGGGGACUCUGUCGGGACUGCCGUCGUAAGAUGUGAGGAAGGUGGGGAUGACGUCAAAUCAGCACGGCCCUUACGUCCGGNGCUACACACGUGUUACAAUGGGGGGUACAGAAGGCAGCUACACGGCGACGUGAUGCUAAUCCCGAAAGCCUCUC
RNAcentral lists this ribosomal RNA (503 nucleotides) under uncultured bacterium. RNAcentral's name for it is "bacterial SSU rRNA". It matches the Rfam family "Bacterial small subunit ribosomal RNA", at positions 778 to 1287 of the family's 1533-position model. The record is from RNAcentral.